RNAcentral lists this ribosomal RNA (488 nucleotides) under uncultured bacterium. Its description in RNAcentral is "bacterial SSU rRNA". It matches the Rfam family "Bacterial small subunit ribosomal RNA", at positions 28 to 526 of the family's 1533-position model. The record is from RNAcentral.
GAUGAACGCUGGCGGCGUGCUUAACACAUGCAAGUCGAACGGUGAACAUGGAGCUUGCUCUGUGGGAUCAGUGGCGAACGGGUGAGUAACACGUGAGCAACCUGCCCCUGACUCUGGGAUAAGCGCUGGAAACGGCGUCUAAUACUGGAUAUGAGUAGCGGCCGCAUGGUCUGUUACUGGAAAGAUUUUUUGGUUGGGGAUGGGCUCGCGGCCUAUCAGCUUGUUGGUGAGGUAAUGGCUCACCAAGGCGUCGACGGGUAGCCGGCCUGAGAGGGUGACCGGCCACACUGGGACUGAGACACGGCCCAGACUCCUACGGGAGGCAGCAGUGGGGAAUAUUGCACAAUGGGCGGAAGCCUGAUGCAGCAACGCCGCGUGGGGGAUGACGGCCUUCGGGUUGUAAACCUCUUUUAGCAGGGAAGAAGCGUGAGUGACGGUACCUGCAGAAAAAGCGCCGGCUAACUACGUGCCAGCAGCCGCCGUAACAC